AACUGAGAACACAAGGAUGAAUACCAAUGGAUUCUUGAAGUAGAAUAUAUUAUACUCAAAUGAGAGACGAGGAAUAUGAAAUUAAAUAUCAAUAAUAUGUUGGAUCGUGUUCCAAGAGAAAGCUAUGGAAGUUGAGGCUUCAUAAGGAAAUAAAGGCCUGAAGAAACAGUUAGACCUGAGUAUUUUUAUGCUAGGUUUGAUGAAGAGUGGACAGUCAUGGAGGAAUAUGAUACAUUAAGGAGUGGGAGGGAAAUUUCAAGGAACCCACUAACAGGCAAGAGCCGAAAGAACUCAGCACAGAUUUCAGCUACUUCUAAUCAAUCAGAUUUCCCAAUCUGAAGAACAGAGAAAAAAUAAUGAUAAUGUUAAACACUAGUGAUUUGUGAGACAAUGUAAAGCAACCUAACAGUCACGUGAUUAGAGUCCCAGAGAAGACGACGACUAGGGUGGGGCACAAUAAAUUUUUUAAUAAGUAAUGACAAAAGUUUCCUGUAUUUGAUGAAAAUCACGAGGUUUCAGAUCUAAGAAUACAAAGAAAACACACACCUAGGCACAAUAGUCAUACUGCUGAUAACCAAAGAUAAACUGAAAAUCUUGAAAUCUGCCAGAGAAAAGGGUACAUUACAUAUAAGGCAACAGCAAUACACAUAUAGCCAAUUUCUCAUUAGAAGUAGUGGAGACUGGAAGACAAAGGAAUAACAUCAUUAA
Molecule: long non-coding RNA, 708 nt
Organism: Diceros bicornis minor
Lineage: Eukaryota; Metazoa; Chordata; Mammalia; Perissodactyla; Rhinocerotidae
Exons: 3
Source: RefSeq, a predicted model, not a curated record